Molecule: long non-coding RNA, 6615 nt
Organism: Anolis carolinensis (green anole)
Lineage: Eukaryota; Metazoa; Chordata; Lepidosauria; Squamata; Anolidae
Exons: 3
Source: RefSeq, a predicted model, not a curated record
CGAGAUCUGUGAUCUCCACGGGAUUUGGAGCUGCUUUAACCAUAGACUCUUUUAGAGGGUGGGCGCCAUUUUUUCUCUCUCUCGCAUACCUUCUCUUCCAAUGCACAGAAACAUCAGUUGGAAAGGCCUGCAUUUUCCCGUAUGCUGGGGACAGAAAAUCGCCUUCAUGUCUGACUCUGGGGUUGGUGCUCAUCUCCAUUUCUAAGCUGAAGAGCCGGCGUUGUCCGUAGACACCUCCAAGGUCAUGUGGCCGGCAUGACUGCCUAGAAUACAGGUUGUGGUGUACUAAUAGUGGAGACAAUUCUCAAUGAAGACAGAAGUGGGCCUUUACCAGCCCACAUCUACUCCAUAAUGAUGCUGAUUGUCUUAGAAGGAAAAGAAUGGACCAUAUCCGAGCACAAUACACUCCUUGGUGCAGCUGGAUUCAAGGAUAUUCAGUUCAAGAAAGGACAAGUCUAUAGUGUCAUUUAUGGAAGAAAAUAAAACAUCUCUCUUUAAUUUCACUUCAGUAGAGUCUCACUUAUCUAAGCUUCACUUAUCCAAGGUUCUGUAUUAUCCAAGGCAGCCUGCCUUUUAGUAGUUAUUGUUUUUGUAGUAAAUGUUGCAAUGUUUUGGUGCUAAAUUCGUAAAUACAGUAAUUACUACAUAACAUUACUGUGUAUUGAACUGCUUUUUCUGUCAAUUUGUUGUAAAACAUGAUGUUUUGGUGCUUAAUUUGUAAAUUCGUAAUGUAAUUUGAUGUUUAAUAAACUUUUCCUUAAUCCCUCCUUAUUAUCCAACAUUUUCACUUAUCCAGUGUUCUGCCAGCCCGUUUAUGUUAGAUAAGCGAGACUCUACUGUAUUAUUUCACUGUUAAAGUAUUAUUGUCAUGAAAUUCCAAAUACUCUGUGUAUGUUUGUGUGGAUGUGCCUUCAAGUCGCCUGUAGACUAUGGCAAACAUAUGAAUUUCUUAGAUUUUUCUUGGUCAAAGAAUACUCAAGAUGGCUUUGCUUCACUGUGGUUCUCAACCUGUGGGUCCUCAGAUGUUUUGGCCUUCAACUCCCAGAAAUCCUAACAGCUAAUAAACUGGCUGGGAUUUCUGGGAGUUGUAGGCCAAAACACCUGGAGACAUACAUGUUGAGAACCACUGAUCUAAAAUAUUUGUUUAUUUAAUUAAUUUAUAUACCGCUCUUCUCCCCCAGGGGACCCAAAUAUAAGAUACAUCACCUUGUAUUCAUUGACGGUCUCCCAUCUGUACAUACCAACCAUCUCAGAUGCAGAAACCCUAUUUGCACUAAUAUCCAGCCACCCUCACAUAGGAGACGUCUCUGUGGUUCCACUUCUCACCCUCACAUUGACUUCUCUCCACUUUUGUGCUGUCCUCCCUGCAUAGUUUCCCUUUCCCCCUCGUUCCCCAUCAUGUUCACUCACCUCAGUCUGCUGAAUGAAAUGGACAGGAUACCACCUAUUUUGACAAGGCACUGGAAGUUGCAAGAGGUCACCAUAUACUGGUUACAGAAAGUGAAUUUUUGUUGAAUGCCCAGUGUUGUCUGCCUUCUCUGCUAUCUUGUACUAAUAUUCUGCGCAUACAUAGGCAAAAGCCAUGCUCAGCACUUCCCUCAACAAAGAAAGAAGCAAAAAGGUGGAGUGGGUUGCAGAGGAAACAAGUGCAGUGCACUGUCACACCCCACUGAUUUUCAAGUUUUGAUUAAGGUCAGGAAACCAGAAGAGACACAGGGGAUGCUGCUUCCCUCGCCCAUAAUAUUACAACACCUUUUUAUUUAACAGGAGCAAGAUCUGUUGAGUUCAAUAAGACCUAACUUCAGUUCCAACUAAAUGUGCAUAUAAGGUGGAAGUCAUGGAGUUGCUGGAUUGCAGCUCCUAUCAGCUCUAUCCAGAUUACGCAAUGGAGAACUGUGCUGGGAGAUGUGUUGUCGAAGGCUUUCAUGGCCGGGAUCACAGGGUUGUUGUGUGUUUUCCAGGCAGUAUGGCCAUGUUCCAGAAGUGUUCUCUCCUGACGUUUCGCCCACAUCUAUGGCAGGCAUCCUCAGAGGUUGUGAGGUAUAUAGAGAAACUAAGCAAGGAAAGUUUAUAUAUCUGUGGAAGAUUCUGGGAUCCUUGUCUGUUGGAGGCCAGAGUGAAUGUUAUAAUUAAUCACCUUGAUUAGCAUUAACUGGCCUUCCCAGCUUCACCUCCUGGCCUGGGGAAAUCCUUUGUUCGGAGGUGUUAGCUGGCCCUGAUUGAUUCAUAUCUGGAAUUCUUCUGUUUUCAGAGUGUUGCUCCUUAUUUACUGUUCUGAUUUUGGAGUUUUUUAGUACUGGUAGCCAGAUUUUGUUCAUUAUCAUGGUUUCCUCCUUUCUGUUGAAAUUGUCCACAUGCUUGUGGAUUUCAAUGGCUUCUCUGUGUAGUCUGACAUGAUAGUUGUUGGAGUGGUCGAGCAUUUCUGUGUUCUCAAAUAAUAUACUGUGUCCAGGUUGGUUUAUCAAGUUCUCUGCUAUGGCUGAUUUCUCAGUUCCUUUCAUGUUCUUUGACUCAUGUUUGGGCAAUGCUGCGUUUGGUGGUCCCUAUGUAGACUUGUCCACAGCUGCAUGGUAUAUGGUAGACUCCUGCAGAGGUAAGAGGAUCCCUCUUGUCCUUUGCUGAAUUUGUUGCAUUUUCUUAGUGGGUCUGUAGAUAGUUUGUAGCUUGUGUUUUUUCAUCAGUUUGCCUAUGCGGUUAGUAGUUCCCUUGAUGUAUGGUAAGAACACCUUUCCUCUGGGUGGAUCUUUAUCUUUACUCUCAUGGCUUGUUCUUAGCUUUACAGCUCUUCUGAUGUCCAUGAUGGAGUAUGAUAAUCUGGAUUAUAUGGCAGUGUAGAUGGGUCUCAGUCUAAGGGGAAAACCCCUUCACAAUGUCCUGCAAGGCAAAUAAUGGUCUUAGCAAUGUAUGCAUUAAGAUGCUUUUAUUAUCCCUGUUAAGUGGUCCUGUGGAGAUACUUUGCAAACUGAAAGCACAUCUGGGGGUGGCAGGGAUUAUAAUAGGUAAAGUUAGACCACCCAAGAAGAUGUUUUAAAAUGAUAUGGACAAACAGGUUUAACUGGGAUAUGGGCAUUUUUAAACGUAAUUAACUGCUACAUCUGUCAUGUAUAUUAAGGCUUCUUAAACCUUUCAAUUCAGGACCCCUUUUCGACACCGAGUAUAUAGUAUAUAAAAUAGGUAUAAAAAUCAAACAUUUACUGAUAACAAAUCAGCAUUUGCAAGGCUUUCUAAACAGACUGUUAUGAAGUACAUCUAAAGUAUCUGCAGAAGACACUGUAAACACUGCACAACACAUUCACUUAAAUGUCUAAAACUACCAGUAGGUGACAUACAGGGGGAAAAAAUCAGGACUCCUACAUUGAACUGAAAGGACCCUCACUAUUUACCCCUAGUUAAUACCUUUUUAUUUAGGGGGAUUAAUACUUUAGGUACAGUUUCUGGAGGGGUCAGUCUAGACAGCCUCUUUGCAUUUGAAGCCUCCGUCGCCCUGCCCCUUUAAGAAUCUCCUCGGGGCAGAGCCUUAGGCAAGGCAUUUCUGUUUCUUGGAAUAAUCAGCCUUUUUUGUGACUGGAAGGUGAAGAGGAAGGCUAGAAAGUCUACAAAAUACAGUCAUAGCUGUAUUCAAGUCCAGUCAGAGUUAAAUAUUGAGACCAUCUUAGAGACAGUUGAACACUAUACAAGAAAGAGACAAUAAGAAGAAAUAGAGAUUCAAGAGCCUCAGUUUGGCCAGAACUGUAUCUCCCAAAGACUUCACCUCUCAUAGUGAGACUCAGGAGGAGAGAAAGUCUAAAAUUCUUGCCAGUUAAUAAAUUCUUGUUUGAUUCAAUUAUAUAGCCUCCGAUCAGUUUCCUGUGCAGCCAAUUCACCUUCCAAGUAGUUAAGAUAGCAUGGGGACAGAACAGUACUAUUUUGACCCAUUUGGGGUUAGGAACCACAUUUUAAGAAGCAGUGAGCUAUAAGAGUCUGUUUCCAUAAAACCUCAUGUUGCAUAUUAGUACAGCAAUAGUAAAUACAGGCUAACAUGACAAGAAUAAGAUAUCUCAUUUUAGUUCUUUUGGAGCACCUAAGUCACACUCUUCUUGGCAUGCCAUCAUUCCUGUUCUCACAACACCAUUUCAGGUAAGCUAGCUACAACAUUCUGGUUGCUCAAGAUCAGCCUCUGGGCUUUUUGGCUUGCUUCAAAAGUGGAUGCUUCUACCCAUUUAGGAUUAGCUUGACUGGAAAAGUGGAAAAAAAUGUUACUUUGGUUAUUUUUCCUACUUCUCACCAAGUGCUACAAUGCAAAAUCAGCGAUGAUGAAAACAUCUCUAUGGACAAAGCUUUGCAAUCAGUUUCCCAUUCACAAAACUCACAGAAUAGAAACCUAUUUUAGGAAAGGUGUUAUGAUGUCAAGCAAGAUUAAAAUUCAGUCUUUAGAAAACAUUGGCAGUCAUGUUGGAGACUACACUUUAAAAAAAUAAGUGUUGCAUGUUCACAUUUACUAGAGAUUCUUGAGAACAAUCCCACUAGUUUGAUUUACAGCAAUAAACUAAACAUGUAUUUUCUCUACUCUCUGUAUAGAUUUCCAGUUCCAAAUGUAGUUACAUGAUCUGUUUGCUUAUAAAGAAGACCAUGGCCUUAACAAAAACUAUGAAAGAUGGUUUAUAGCUGGUUAAUCCUCUCAACGUGAACCAUCAGAAUAUUAUUGUAUUGUACAGAAAAAUCUACUCGUAUUUCUAGCUGACUGUCAUGGAAUUCAGGGAGGCUGUCUAUAAAUUAAAUAUACUACAGUACCAAUAAUUGGUACCAGCCAAUACAAACAAAUGGAAAUCUGAUUAAAUUUAUUUCAAAGGAGUGGCCAAUAAAGUGUUAUCUUUCUCUUAAAUAUGAGCUGCAUAUUUAACACAAGAUAGCGGCAAAGCAAACAACAGUGCUUUGGCCCUUUUUUGAGGAAAUAAUAAAUUUUCCCUGCAUGGUACCUUUGAUAACUCAAGGGGUUUGGGAUUGCAUACAAUAGAAAGGAUUCCACAUUUUUUUACUCUUGAUUAGUAGAAGUAUUAUCUGUAUGCAUGCAGUGUGUAUAUUUAAUUUAUAUGGGCAGCAUGGCCUAGAGGUUUGAGACUGACAAUGAUUCCUAAGGUUAGGGUUCCAAUACAAUAGUAGGAGAGUACUUUACCUCUGUGACACCUUUGCACUACAUCUAUUAAAUUAAUAAAUGCUGUAUGACUGACAAUAUUGUUGGGAGUGUUGAGUUCAUGGAGAGCGAUGACAAGGAAGGAAGACCACCUUACCUACAACACAGUUAACCAGACCAUAAGAAGGAAACUCAAGUAGGCAAAGCACCACUACAUUUACGAUGGAUCUACACUGCCAUAUACAAUCUCAUAUCCAGUUCAAAGCAGAUAAUGUGGAUUAUUUGCUUUGAUAAUAUGGAUUAUGUAGCAGUAUAGAUCCAGCUUUAGGAUGCAACUGAUAAUGGUUGGGGCUACCAUUAUCAGAUUUGAAAUCUAGAAACAGAAUAAUACAACAUUUCCUGCAACUAUUGGCCCUUCCAAAGGAUCCUCUUGUUGGAUACCAUCAAUUCAGUCCAUUCUUCUCUGAGAACUCUGUAAUUCUGGGGGGGGGGGGGGGGGGACAAGUAUUUGGCCAGUGUGGCCUAGCCAGGGGAGAUGGUAGAGGAUAUCACUAAGGCUGAUAUCCAUUUUAAACAUAGGUGUAUGUAUGUGUGUGAAAGUUUGUUUGUUUGUCAGUUUGUACCACACAUGCUAUUGCAAGGUGAAAUGCCCCUCCGUGAUGUCACUGGGAAAGAAAGUUGACAUAUGUAUGAGGGGAAGGGAGAAGGGAGGAAAUCAAGAGAAAAGAAAAAUAAGGAAAGGAGAAGGGAGGGGAGGGGGGAGUGUUAUAGUUCAGCCUAUUCAGCCCAUGGUUGUGCCUGCUUCCAAUGUCUAUGAGGAAGGAGAUCAUGGGAUUUCUGGGCCUGCGAGCGAACAUGAGAUUUUAAGUCUUGAAAAUUAGCAGUCUAUGUCUCCAGCAGUUAGUAAAGGUCACAUUCCAGAGAGGGGCCCAGAUGCUAAAGAUGAGUCAUUCUUCAGUGAAACAAGGUCAGAGGCUGAAAUGAGUUCAGAGGAUGAAAUCCCAGGUGGAGAGGAUAAUGAGCUGGUAGAUAGGAGACAGUUUUCGUAAACUCCGUGCCGUGCAACAGAAUUUCCAAAAACACUUGUUACAGAAAAGGCCGUUAUCAGGAAGUCAGGGGAAAAGGCAUGAUUUUCUGUGUAUAUUAAAGAGGCUGAGGGUUUUUGCCAGCCAGUCUAGUCAACUUUGGUAAUUGAGGCAGCAGCUCUUGCCAAGUCCUAAUCAAGCCUGCUAAGGAAAUUCUAGUUAAUGUCUUUGUUCCUGUUUCAAGCUUCCAAGUUUAAAGGAUUGUUCCUGAAAUUUUGUAUUGGAUUUAAUGCUACCUUGUAUUCCUAGUUCUUUUGUAUCCCUUUUCUUGAUGUCUUUUUGCUUUGGGGUCUUUGAAACCAGUCUUGUACCUUGAACCUUGUGGACUAUUUCCUACAUUUGGACUUUGAAGGGUUUUUUUUUACUAUUUUUGCUGAACUUCUUUUUAUAUAAUAUUCAAUAAAUUGCUUUGUUGAUUUA